Thalassophryne amazonica is the source of this 140-nucleotide long non-coding RNA. RefSeq lists it as uncharacterized. The record is from RefSeq and is a predicted model, not a curated record. NCBI's taxonomy places the organism in Eukaryota, Metazoa, Chordata, Actinopteri, Batrachoidiformes, Batrachoididae. The transcript has 3 exons.
AAAUACACCUGGUGCCUUAUCAGUGGACACAAUUACAGAAAAACUAACUUUUACAGCAUUAACCUGUUUUGGAUGUUGUCGGACUUAAAUUAAAGCUGACAGUCUGCACCAUGAGCUCAACUCGAGUGCGUUAAAAGGUG